UGAAGCCCUUUCACUUUACCAUGUAGAUCAGUACAUGUCUAUAUUGGUCAUUCGCUGGGGCCACAACAACAAUCUUCUUAAAACCCAAGCAAAUCCUUGUAUUUGACUUGUGUCCUGUCAGAGGAAACAGUC
Molecule: small nucleolar RNA, 132 nt
Filed under: Leptobrachium leishanense (Leishan spiny toad)
Lineage: Eukaryota; Metazoa; Chordata; Amphibia; Anura; Megophryidae
Description: Small nucleolar RNA SNORA27 (ENSLLEG00000016127.1)
Rfam family: Small nucleolar RNA SNORA27
About the family: ACA27 is a member of the H/ACA class of snoRNA that guide the sites of modification of uridines to pseudouridines.
Source: Rfam by way of RNAcentral